GGCCAAGUUUUUAAGGGCGCACGGUGGAUGCCUUGGCACCAGGAACCGAUGAAGGACGUGGGAGGCCGCGAUAGUCCCCGGGGAGUCGUCAACCAGGCUUUGAUCCGGGGGUUUCCGAAUGGGGAAACCCGGCAGUCGUCAUGGGCUGUCACCCUUGUCUGAACACAUAGGGCAAGUGGAGGGAACGCGGGGAAGUGAAACAUCUCAGUACCCGCAGGAAGAGAAAACAACCGUGAUUCCGGGAGUAGUGGCGAGCGAAACUGGAUGAGGCUAAACCGUAUACGUGUGAGACCCGGCAGGGGUUGCGUAUGCGGGGUUGUGGGAUCUCUCUUGAUCAGUCUGCCGGCUGGUCGGUGAGUCAGAAACCGUUGAUGUAGGCGAAGGACAUGCGAAAGGUCCGGCGUAGAGGGUAAGACCCCCGUAGUCGAAAC
RNAcentral lists this ribosomal RNA (431 nucleotides) under Streptomyces sp. B93. Its description in RNAcentral is "Bacterial large subunit ribosomal RNA". It matches the Rfam family "Bacterial large subunit ribosomal RNA", at positions 1 to 385 of the family's 2925-position model. The record is from Rfam by way of RNAcentral. Lineage: Bacteria; Bacillati; Actinomycetota; Actinomycetes; Kitasatosporales; Streptomycetaceae.